This 222-nucleotide ribosomal RNA is filed under the name uncultured bacterium. RNAcentral describes it as "partial 16S ribosomal RNA". It matches the Rfam family "Bacterial small subunit ribosomal RNA", at positions 328 to 539 of the family's 1533-position model. The record is from RNAcentral.
ACGCUCGACACCUACGGGAGCAGCAGUAGGGAAUCUUCCACAAUGGACGCAAGUCUGAUGGAGCAACGCCGCGUGAGUGAAGAAGGUUUUCGGAUCGUAAAGCUCUGUUGUUGGUGAAGAAGGAUAGAGGUAGUAACUGGCCUUUAUUUGACGGUAAUCAACCAGAAAGUCACGGCUAACUACGUGCCUGCAGCCGCGGUAAUCUGAGCGGGCUGGCAAGGC